UGAAAUUUCCCCAAGCUGCUUGUCCCACCAGCAAGAAGAAACACCAGAACAGCGACGAAGAAGAAGAAACAUAACACACACACAAAGGAGGUCAGAUUUAUGUUUUGAUCAUAGGAGAAAGGGGGUGCCCAAAAUGGCUGCAACAACAUUUUCCAUGCCAAGUAACGGCUCACAUUCUCAGCAUUCGAACCAUGAACUCAGAUAAAAUAUCAUCACAGCCAUUAGAAAAAAAAUCACAAAUCUUCAAAUCAAUAAACCCAAAACCAACAAAUCAAAAAAAAUCAAAACUUAGAUUUCUUCAAAUCAAGAACUAACAAAACACCAGCGAGAAG
RNAcentral lists this long non-coding RNA (332 nucleotides) under Actinidia chinensis (golden kiwifruit). RNAcentral describes it as "long non-coding RNA (ACHI_LNC001968)". Lineage: Eukaryota; Viridiplantae; Streptophyta; Magnoliopsida; Ericales; Actinidiaceae. The record is from RNAcentral.